Molecule: ribosomal RNA, 1446 nt
Filed under: uncultured Bordetella sp.
Lineage: Bacteria; Pseudomonadati; Pseudomonadota; Betaproteobacteria; Burkholderiales; Alcaligenaceae
Description: partial 16S-23S ribosomal RNA intergenic spacer
Rfam family: Bacterial small subunit ribosomal RNA
Source: RNAcentral
AGUUCGAUUAUGGCUCAGAUUGAACGCUGGCGGGAUGCUUUACACACGUAAGUCGAACGGCAGCACGGACUCUGGUCUGGUGGCGAGUGGCGAACGGGUGAGUAAUGUAUCGGAACGUGCCUAGUAGCGGGGGAUAACUACGCGAAAGCGUAGCUAAUAAUGCGCGAUACCUUCGGGGAAAGCGGGGACUUCGGCCUCGCAACGCUAGAGCGGCCGAUAUCGGAUUAGCUAGUUGGUGGGGUAACGGCUCACCAAGGCGACGAUCCGUAGCUGGUUUGAGAGGACGACCAGCCACUGGGAUCAGACGCCUCAGACUCUACGAGGCAGCAGUGGGGAAUUUUGGACAAUGGGGAACCUCGAUCCAGCCAUCCGGGCGUGUGCGAUGAAGGCCUGGGUUGUAAAAGCACUUUUGGCAGGAAAGAAACGGCACGGGAUAAUACCGUGCAACUUUGAUUUUCAAAUUGCAGAAUAAGCACCGGCUAACUACGUGCCAGCAGCUGCGGUAAUACGUAGGGUGCAAGCGUUAACUGAAAUGACGGCGGCAAGCGUGCGCAGGCGGUCUGGAAGAAAGCAUGGAACCUGAGCUUAACUUUGGAACUGCAUUUUUAACUACCGAGCUAGAGUGUGUCAGAGGGAGGUGGAAUUCCGCGUGUAGCAGUGAAUGCGUAGAUACGCGGAGGAACAAUCGAUGGCGAAGGCAGCCUCCUGGGAUAACACGAUCGCCUGCGCACGAAAGCGUGGGGAGCAAACAGGAUUAGAUACCCUGGUAGUCCACGCCCUAAACGAGUCGUUCAGCUGUUGGGGCCUUCGGGCCUGGUAGCAGCUAACGCGUGAAGUUGACCGCCUGGGGAGUACGGUCGCAAGAUUAAAAACUCAAAGGAAUUGACGGGGACCUACGCGGUGGAUGAUGAUUGACUCGAUGCAACGCGAAAAACCUUACCUACCUGACAUGUCUGGAAUCCCGAAGAGAUUUGGGAGUGCUCGCAACCUGAACACAGGUGCUGCAUGAAUGUCAGCUCGUGUCGUGAGAUGUUGGGUUAAGUCUCAACGAGCGCAACCCUUGUCAUUAGUUGCUACGAAAGGGCACUCUAAUGAGACUGCCGGUGACAAACCGGAGGAAGGUGGGGAUGACGUCAAGUCCUCAUGGCCCUUAUGGGUAGGGCUUCACACGUCAUACAAUGGUCGGGACAGAGGGACGCCAACCCGCGAGGGGGAGCCAAUCCCAGAAACCCGAUCGUAGUCCGGAUCGCAGUCUGCAACUCGACUGCGUGAAGUCGGAAUUCGCCAUAAUCGCGGAUCAGCAUGUCGUGGUGAAUACGUUCCCGGGUCUUGUACACACCGCCCGUCACACCAUGGGAGUGGGUUUUACCAGAAGUAGUUAGCCUAACCGUAAGGAGGGCGAUUACCACGUAGGAUUCAUGACUGGGGUGAAGUCGUAACAAGGUA